GUAGUCCACGCUGUAAACGAUGAGUACUAAGUGUCGGGGCAACUCGGUACUGAAGUUAACACAUUAAGUACUCCGCCUGAGUAGUACGUACGCAAGUAUGAAACUUAAAGGAAUUGACGGGACUCCGCACAAGCGGUGGAUCAUGUUGUUUAAUUCGAAGAUACACGAAAAACCUUACCAGGUCUUGACAUACUCUGCGAAGCUAUAGAAAUAUAGUGGAGGUUAUCAGGGAUACAGGUGGUGCAUGGUUGUCGUCAGUUCGUGUCGUGAGAUGUUAGGUUAAGUCCUAAAACGAACGCAACCCCUGUCGUUAGUUACCAGCACGUAAUGGUGGGGACUUUAGCGAGACUGCCAAUUAAACAUUGGAGGAAGGUGGGGAUAACGUCAAAUCAUCAUGCCCCUUAUGAUCUGGGCUACAAGCGUGAUACAAUGGCUGUUACAAAGAGUAGCUGAAACGCGAGUUUUUAGCCAAUCUCAAAAAGACAGUCUUAGUCCGGAUUGAAGUCUGCAACUCGACUUCAUGAAGCUGGAAUCGCUAGUAAUCGCGAAUCAGCAUGUCGCGGUGAAUACGUUCUCGGGGUUUGUACACACCGCCCGUCAAACCACGAAAGUUAGCAAUACCCGAAAGCAGUGGCUUAACUUCGCAAGAAGAGGGAGCUGUCUAAGGUAGGGUUGAUGAUUGGGGGUU
Molecule: ribosomal RNA, 688 nt
Filed under: uncultured bacterium
Lineage: Bacteria
Description: bacterial SSU rRNA
Rfam family: Bacterial small subunit ribosomal RNA
Source: RNAcentral